This 466-nucleotide ribosomal RNA is filed under the name uncultured bacterium. RNAcentral's name for it is "partial 16S ribosomal RNA". It matches the Rfam family "Bacterial small subunit ribosomal RNA", at positions 29 to 506 of the family's 1533-position model. The record is from RNAcentral.
ACGAACGCUGGCGGCGUGCUUCACACAUGCAAGUCGCACGGAAAGGCCCUGCUUUUGUGGGGUGCUCGAGUGGCGAACGGGUGAGUAACACGUGAGUAACCUGCCCUUGACUUUGGGAUAACUUCAGGAAACUGGGGCUAAUACCGGAUAGGAGCUCCUGCUGCAUGGUGGGGGUUGGAAAGUUUCGGCGGUUGGGGAUGGACUCGCGGCUUAUCAGCUUGUUGGUUGGGUAGUGGCUUACCAAGGCUUUGACGGGUAGCCGGCCUGAGAGGGUGACCGGCAAAAUAGGGACUGAGAUACGGCCCAGACGCAUAAGGGAGGCAGGAGUGGGGAAUAUUGGACAAGGGGCGGAAGCCUGAUGCAGAAACGCAGCGUGCGGGAUGACGGCCUUCGGGUUGUAAAACGCUUUAGCCUGUGACGAAGCGUGAGUGACGGAAAUGGGUAAAGAAGCACCGGCUAACUACGU